UUCCGCCUAGAGAGAAGCUUGCGGCUGAUUAGCUUGUUGGUAAGGUAAUGGCUUACCAAGGCGACGAUCAGUAUCUGGUUUGAGAGGACGAUCAGACACACUGGAACUGAGACACGGUCCAGACUCCUACGGGAGGCAGCAGUGGGGAAUUUUCCGCAAUGGGCGAAAGCCUGACGGAGCAAUACCGCGUGAGGGAUGACUGCCUAUGGGUUGUAAACCUCUUUUUUCAGGGAGGAAUAAAAUGACGUUACCUGAAGAAUAAGCAUCGGCUAACUCCGUGCCAGCAGCCGCGGUAAGACGGAGGAUGCAAGUGUUAUCCGGAAUCACUGGGCGUAAAGCGUCUGUAGGUUGUUUAAUAAGUCAACUGUUAAAUCUUGAGGCUCAACCUCGAAACCGCAGUCGAAACUAUUAGACUAGAGUAUAGUAGGGGUAAAGGGAAUUUCCAGUGGAGCGGUGAAAUGCGUAGAGAUUGGAAAGAACACCGAUGGCGAAGGCACUUUACUGGGCUAUUACUAACACUGAGAGACGAAAGCUAGGGUAGCAAAUGGGAUUAGAUACCCCAGUAGUCCUAGCUGUAAACAAUGGAUACUAGAUGUUGAACAGAUCGACCUGUGCAGUAUUAAAGCUAACGCGUUAAGUAUCCCGCCUGGGAAGUAUGCUCGC
Molecule: ribosomal RNA, 663 nt
Filed under: uncultured bacterium
Lineage: Bacteria
Description: bacterial SSU rRNA
Rfam family: Bacterial small subunit ribosomal RNA
Source: RNAcentral